Long non-coding RNA from Hippocampus comes (tiger tail seahorse), 408 nucleotides. RefSeq lists it as uncharacterized. The record is from RefSeq and is a predicted model, not a curated record. The transcript has 2 exons. Lineage: Eukaryota; Metazoa; Chordata; Actinopteri; Syngnathiformes; Syngnathidae.
UUUCUGUCCCUUGUUAAUAUUUACUGUGUGUGUAGGUUACAAUCUGAGCCCCAACGCUCUGAACAUGAUAAUGAAGCGCUACAGUGUCAACGGAAGAAUCCCCUUUGAUGAUUUUGUGAGCUGUUGCGUUCGACUCCGCGGGUUGACUGAUCAUUUCCAACGCCGUGACACAUCUCGAAAUGGCACCGCCAACUUCCAUUAUGACGAUGUAAGUGCGCCGUUUUACCGUUUGAACCUGGGCCGGAUUUACAUUGCAGGCUUCAAGUGACACAUUGGAAAACACCCGCUGAAAAUGUCAACUACAGCAACAUCAUGAGAAAAUGUGCUAGAGCGGGGGAUUUUGAGCCUUUAAAAUUGUUUCAAUAUUGUAGAUUUCGAUAGUGUAGACUCGAUGAUGUAAAUGUGCUC